RNAcentral lists this ribosomal RNA (253 nucleotides) under uncultured bacterium. Its description in RNAcentral is "partial 16S ribosomal RNA". It matches the Rfam family "Bacterial small subunit ribosomal RNA", at positions 524 to 776 of the family's 1533-position model. The record is from RNAcentral.
UACAGAGGUCUCAAGCGUUGUUCGGAUUCAUUGGGCGUAAAGGGUGCGUGGGCGGCGCGGUAAGUCGGGUGUGAAAUCUCGGAGCUUAACUCCGAAACUGCAUUCGAUACUGCCGUGCUUGAGGACUGGAGAGGAGACUGGAAUUUACGGUGUAGCGGUGAAAUGCGUAGAUAUCGUAAGGAAGACCAGUGGCGAAGGCGGGUCUCUGGACAGUUCCUGACACUGAGGCACGAAGGCCAGGGGAGCAAACGGG